UACGUAGGGGGCAAGCGUUGUCCGGAUUUAUUGGGCGUAAAGAGCGUGUAGGCGGCCAGGUAGGUCUGCUGUGAAAACUCGAGGCUCAACCUCGAGACGUCGGCGGAAACCAUCUGGCUAGAGUCCGGAAGAGGAGAGUGGAAUUCCUGGUGUAGCGGUGAAAUGCGCAGAUAUCAGGAAGAACACCCGUGGCGAAGGCGGCUCUCUGGGACGGUACUGACGCUGAGGCGCGAAAGCUAGGGGAGCGAACAGG
This 253-nucleotide ribosomal RNA is filed under the name uncultured bacterium. RNAcentral describes it as "partial 16S ribosomal RNA". It matches the Rfam family "Bacterial small subunit ribosomal RNA", at positions 524 to 776 of the family's 1533-position model. The record is from RNAcentral.